This 481-nucleotide ribosomal RNA is filed under the name uncultured bacterium. RNAcentral describes it as "partial 16S ribosomal RNA". It matches the Rfam family "Bacterial small subunit ribosomal RNA", at positions 355 to 827 of the family's 1533-position model. The record is from RNAcentral.
UGGGGAAUUUUGGACAAUGGGGGCAACCCUGAUCCAGCAAUGCCGCGUGUGUGAAGAAGGCCUUCGGGUUGUAAAGCACUUUUGUCCGGAAAGAAAACGUCGUGGUUAAUACCCGUGGGCGGCUGACGGUACCGGAAGAAUAAGCACCGGCUAACUACGUGCCAGCAGCCGCGGUAAUACGUAGGGUGCAAGCGUUAAUCGGAAUUACUGGGCGUAAAGCGUGCGCAGGCGGUCCGCUAAGACAGAUGUGAAAUCCCCGGCUUAACCUGGGAACUGCAUUUGUGACUGGCGGGCUAGAGUAUGGCAGAGGGGGGUAGGAAUUCCACGUGUAGCAGUGAAAUGCGUAGAGAUGUGGAGGAAUACCGAUGGCGAAGGCAGCCCCCUGGGCCAAUACUGACGCUCAUGCACGAAAGCGUGGGGAGCAAACAGGAUUAGAUACCCUGGUAGUCCACGCCCUAAACGAUGUCAACUAGUUGUCGGG